UACAGAGGGUGCGAGCGUUGUCCGGAAUCACUGGGCGUAAAGGGCGCGUAGGUGGCCCGACAAGUCUGUGGUGAAAGCUCGACGCUCAACGUCGAGUCGGCCAUAGAUACUGUUGGGCUGGAGCACUGUAGAGGCUCAUGGAAUUCCGGGUGUAGCGGUGGAAUGCGUAGAGAUCCGGAAGAACACCGGUGGCGAAGGCGGUUAGCUGGGCAGUUGCUGACACUGAGGCGCGACAGCGUGGGGAGCAAACAGG
This 253-nucleotide ribosomal RNA is filed under the name uncultured bacterium. RNAcentral describes it as "partial 16S ribosomal RNA". It matches the Rfam family "Bacterial small subunit ribosomal RNA", at positions 524 to 776 of the family's 1533-position model. The record is from RNAcentral.